This 57-nucleotide ribosomal RNA is filed under the name Campylobacter jejuni. RNAcentral also lists the same sequence under 1 other name. The record is from RNAcentral. Lineage: Bacteria; Pseudomonadati; Campylobacterota; Epsilonproteobacteria; Campylobacterales; Campylobacteraceae.
UCUGGUGACUAUAGCAAGGAGGUCACACCUGUUCCCAUGCCGAACACAGAAGUUAAG